RNA transcript from Polyodon spathula (Mississippi paddlefish), 2118 nucleotides. It is a transcript of the gene named CD276 antigen-like, with no coding region annotated. The record is from RefSeq and is a predicted model, not a curated record. Lineage: Eukaryota; Metazoa; Chordata; Actinopteri; Acipenseriformes; Polyodontidae. The transcript has 4 exons.
UUUUUUUUUUUUUCUUAUCGCAAACGCCUAGUCAACCAGUACACUGAUGCAGUAUUUUUCUUCUUUUUCUGGCGUUUGUUGUUGAUUUUGUUCUCUUUGAAAGACAGCGUGCCUUUAACUGCACGUCCUCGUUUAUUGCGUCACGGAAGCUGACUCGGUCACAUGACGAGUUUGCAUUCCACAGUGAAGCCCCUGUGCGUGGAAUCGGUCUCGCCUUCAAUCUGCUGCAGACUGGAGGGGCAGCGAGGGUCUCUAUACUGAUGCGCGGCUCGACCCACUGGUAGAUAUUUAAAUAAACCUCGGGUCGGGUUACGUGCGGGUCAACAUGAACGUGCAACUGCUGUAUUUAUAAUGUCAUCUAUAAAAAGUGUUGACAAUUACAUUUACAAAUAACAUACACUCUGUAUUUCUAACUAUUGCAGUCAUCAAAGUCAUCAACUGAAUGAGAUACAGAACUGCCUAAUGACACUGUGUUAAUGGACUUUCGACUAUGGACUGUUUACCGAUGAGGAAUAACGGAUUUGGGAUGUGGGAUCAAUUGACAGUUCAAGCCUACUUUCAUGAACAUGAUACAGACUAAAUGUUGAACAGCAGUUUUUGGAUUCAUUAUCUAUCGAAAGACUGUCGCUGCCCCGGAACAGACGGUCUGUACUCCGACCCAUUUCAACGUGCAUCCAGAACCUCAAACAAUGAAUCAGACCUGCUCUUACCUGGAGACGGAACCCGCGGUCGCAGCUGCACGGUCCAGUCUGACUGGUUCCCAUCACAGGAGAGGAGAGGAGAUGACCAGACGUGGCUUCAGCUGAGGGUUUCAUGUUUUUUUUCAAAGGGGUGUUUCUAUAGGGAUAGUGCAGCUGCUGUGAGAGCCGGAGAAAAAAGCUAAUUAUACCCAGCUCUGGAUUUAAAUACCCCUGGGAUGACAACUGAAUGUGCAUUCACAGAGAUAUAUAUAUAAAAAAAGAAAAUCGCCAGGGACUUUCCACGCCCCGGUCUGUUCAAAUCGCACUAUAAAUGAAUGCAUUGUUUAUUAUAAGAGAAAUACCAAGUUGUAUUGAAAGAAAUACAAAGCAAUGCGUUAUUCGAGAAUGAAGUCACCCCAGGCCCGGUAUAAAAGGCUUGUCUAGAGUGUAUUUCUUGGAUGAGAGGAAUGGACGAGGGCUGCACACUCUGUCAUCCCCGACAUUGCUAUUAUGAAGAGGACCCCCAGCUCUUGCCUGUUUGCUCUGACUCUGUUUCUAACCAUUUCAUUGGCAGUGGUGGUGCCCCGGUCUCCAGUGACGUCACCUCCCGGCGGUGAUGUCACUCUCAGCUGCUCUUUCUCCUAUGAAGUGGGGGCUGAUCUCAGCAGAGUGGUGGUUACCUGGCAACGCCCUCCUGCCAAUGAUGUCGUCCACAGUUUCUAUUACGGUCGAGACCAGCUGGAUCUGCAGAAUGAAGCCUACAGGAAUCGGACCCAGCUGUUUCCAGAGCAGCUCGUAUUGGGGAGGAUGAGGGCUGGUACACCUGCAGGGGUGGCCUUUGUCCUCCAGAGGCCGGUAGCUCGCUGACAUCCGCUCUCGAGUUCCUGGGUAUACGCAGGCCCACACUGCUGUGGCUGAAUGCAGCAAGAACUGACAUCAUAAACCAGAGCCUCACCAACCAGCGCUGAGCACUCACAUGGCUGCUGUGUUUAAUAAUCAGGGCUGAGCACUCACAUGGCUGCUGUGUUUAAUAAUCAGGGCUGAGCACUCGCAUGGCUGCUGUGUUUAAUAAUCAGGGCUGAGCACUCACAUGGCUGCUGUGCAUCACAUUCAGGGCUGAGCACUCACAUGGCUGCUGUGUUUAAUAAUCAGGGCUGAGCACUCACAUGGCUGCUGUGCAUCACAUUCAGGGCUGAGCACUCACAUGGCUGCUGUGUUUAAUAAUCAGGGCUGAGCACUCACAUGGCUGCUGUGUUUAAUAAUCAGGGCUGAGCACUCACAUGGCUGCUGUGUUUAAUAUUCAGGGCUGAGCACUCACAUGGCUGCUGUGUUUAAUAAUCAGGGCUGAGCACUCACAUGGCUGCUGUGUUUAAUAAUCAGGGCUGAGCACUCACAUGGCUGCUGUGUUUAAUAAUCAGGGCUGAGCACUCACAUGGCU